GGGUGAGGUGAUCUGGCUUUGACAUCUAUCACUCCUUUGUCAGCAGGGUUGAUUUCUUCUGACUUAGCUAGUUGGAAGGGUCACCCCUUCCUCCCUCCCUGAUCCUUGUGUGGCCUGCCUCAAGCUAAGCCAAAGAAUUUGGUCUUGUGAACUCUAUCUGGGCUCUUCUUUGGUCAAGAGGAUCUGAGGAGUUGAGACAUAUUAAUGGAAACUCUGCACUUGGAAUGGCAGCUUCAAGCAGCCCAAAUACCUAUUUUUGUAACUGAAAUGAGAUUCUGACAUGCAGACUAAGCUGUCAU
This is an unclassified non-coding RNA of Mustela putorius furo (domestic ferret), 299 nucleotides long. Its record names the gene 7SK. It matches the Rfam family "7SK RNA". From Rfam's summary of the family: 7SK was discovered as an abundant small nuclear RNA in the mid-70s but a possible function has only recently been suggested. NCBI's taxonomy places the organism in Eukaryota, Metazoa, Chordata, Mammalia, Carnivora, Mustelidae. The record is from Ensembl.